CACAGGGAGCUUGCUCCUGGGUGACGAGCGGCGGACGGGUGAGUAAUGUCUGGGAAACUGCCUGAUGGAGGGGGAUAACUACUGGAAACGGUAGCUAAUACCGCAUAAUGUCGCAAGACCAAAGAGGGGGACCUUCGGGCCUCUUGCCAUCAGAUGUGCCCAGAUGGGAUUAGCUAGUAGGUGGGGUAACGGCUCACCUAGGCGACGAUCCCUAGCUGGUCUGAGAGGAUGACCAGCCACACUGGAACUGAGACACGGUCCAGACUCCUACGGGAGGCAGCAGUGGGGAAUAUUGCACAAUGGGCGCAAGCCUGAUGCAGCCAUGCCGCGUGUAUGAAGAAGGCCUUCGGGUUGUAAAGUACUUUCAGCGAGGAGGAAGGCAUUAAGGUUAAUAACCUUGGUGAUUGACGUUACUCGCAGAAGAAGCACCUGCUAACUCCGUGCCAGCAGCCGCGGUAAUACGGAGGGUGCAAGCGUUAAUCGGAAUUACUGGGCGUAAAGCGCACGCAGGCGGUCUGUCAAGUCGGAUGUGAAAUCCCCGGGCUCAACCUGGGAACUGCAUUCGAAACUGGCAGGCUAGAGUCUUGUAGAGGGGGGUAGAAUUCCAGGUGUAGCGGUGAAAUGCGUAGAGAUCUGGAGGAAUACCGGUGGCGAAGGCGGCCCUCUGGACAAAGACUGACGCUCAGGUGCGAAAGCGUGGGGAGCAAACAGGAUUAGAUAUCUCUGGUAGUCCACGCCGUAAACGAUGUCGAUUUGGAGGUUGUUCUCUUGAGAAGUGGCUUCCGGAGCUAACGCGUUAAAUCGACCGCCUGGGGAGUACGGGUGCAAGGUUAAAACUCAAAUGAAUUGACGGGGGUCGCACAAGCGGUGGAGCAUGUGGUUUAAUUCGAUGCAACGCGAAGAAUCUUACCUACUCUUGACAUCCA
Molecule: ribosomal RNA, 926 nt
Filed under: uncultured bacterium
Lineage: Bacteria
Description: bacterial SSU rRNA
Rfam family: Bacterial small subunit ribosomal RNA
Source: RNAcentral